CCGCCCGCCAGCGCCGCGUUCCCACGACCCGCGUCCGCGGGGGGCGCAGGGCGCGGGCGCCGAGCAUCCCGGGGAGGAUGAGGCCGGGCGCCGGCCCGAGCGGGCCGCGGCUGGGGCUCGGCAGGAAUUAAAGAAGCCGGGAAGAUGGGGCGCCGCGCGCUGCCCGCCCGGCCGGGGCUGGGGACCGGGGACGCCGGCCGGGCGCUCGUCUGCCUGCUCUGCUGCGUGCUCCCGCACACCGCCCCGCAGGUGCUCAGGAUCGGCUCAUCCUAGUCUCAAUGUGUUAACUACUAUUUGGAAAAAAAUCAGCAGUUGACAACCUGAUAAGCUGCCGCAGAGACAUGACACUGUGCUGUCAGGCUGUUAUAAUACUUCAUACAUCACUGGAUCUCCAUAAAUACAGUUAAUUACCAGGUCAUGAGCAAGAGCUUUUAAAAGAAUUUUCAAUUCAUAUCUUGAACUGCUGAGACAGGAGUAAGAGGUCAUACCGACUGAGGACCUGCUGUUGUUCUGCUAUGUCCAAACCCUGCAGACAUGUCCUGAAGACCAGAAAGCCUGCAAGGAUUGUGCUAUGCUAUGCAUCUUAAUCAAGUAGCCCAGAAAAGGGAAAUACAAAUCUCAAUGAGAAAAGGCAAGAACUACCUAGAAUAUGGUUUGGGGUAUUAACAUACAUUUGUUUUCAUUGGCCACAUACAAUAGUAACUGCAUAUCUUUUUUUUUGUAAUAGCUUUAAAACAUUCAGAUUAAAGAUUGAC
RNAcentral lists this long non-coding RNA (755 nucleotides) under Vulpes vulpes (red fox). Its description in RNAcentral is "lncRNA (ENSVVUG00000020427.1)". The record is from RNAcentral. Lineage: Eukaryota; Metazoa; Chordata; Mammalia; Carnivora; Canidae.